AGGCAGUGUUGUGGGCUUGAAUGUCCCUGAAAGGAGCCUCGGACCCUGGAGGAGAAGGCAGCUGCAGGGGCAAAUCCUCCCGUGGGAAAUCAGGGAGUUUGGUGCUGGGGUAGCGGCAGCAUCUCUGCAUCUUGGUACUCAUGUUAUUCAGGGUACUUUAAAAGAAUGCUUACAAAGCACAUGUUCUGUGCAGCAAUAUAAAGGAUAAUGCUAAUUCUCAAUAGAUACAGUAACUAUAAGAAACCACAUGCAAAUGAAAUUCUCUGAGCGAGUCUUUUCUCUUUUAGUCCAAAUGGAAGAUGAGCAAGUUGCCUUGUCAGGCUUCUAAAGGGCAAGAUGAGAAGCAGCUGGAGGGUUGGCAUCCUCCUUGGAGGUGGUCCUCUUACUGGGACAUACAGGAGUCAAUAAGAGGAAAGGGUUACCAGGCAGAAAUUAAAAGAUCUACGCUCGGAACUGGCGUGACCUCGGAGAGCCAGGUGCAGUGCUUCCUGGAGUGCAGGAUUGAGUUCCUGCUCUUUUCUUUCUCAACUAAGCCGAUUCAUGGCCCUCGAGGCUCUAAAAGGAGAAAGAAAACCAGUCAAAGGUAAGGAAGGGAAUGCCAUGAGAAGAAAAAGGAUCAUGGGGAAGGAAACUGAUGCUGGGCCUCCUGACCCUCUGAUGGCUCCAUGAAGAAAGACUUUGAAGAGAUUAAUUGGAAAGGAAAAUGAAGCAGAGCCUGAGCCAUUACUUUGUUGAACACCUUCAUUGUGGAGUAAUAGGAUCUAUUUUCUCAGUAACUGUGUUGCAAAAAGUCAGGAGCACUAACAGACAUUCAGCCAUUCCCCACCAACCAUUUGUAAUUGUUCAAAAUUGGAUUCCCUCUUCCUCCUGGCCUCUUCAUUUACCCCUCAUUCUCCUGCACUGUUCUGCUGCUUUCUGAACACAACUCACUGAAGCUUGAAGACAAAAAUGCUCUAAUUAGCACCAAUGGGAUUAUGAAGCCAAAGCAAGAAGGGAAACAAAAU
Molecule: non-coding RNA, 1004 nt
Organism: Heterocephalus glaber (naked mole-rat)
Lineage: Eukaryota; Metazoa; Chordata; Mammalia; Rodentia; Bathyergidae
Source: RefSeq, a predicted model, not a curated record